GCCGAGGUCCUCUUCUAGGAUUGGUUGUCCACUCAUAACCAUAAGAUAAUUAAAACGGGGGGGGGCAGGGUAAAAAAAAAACCCUUUUAUCAGCCAUAGGUUAAUGCAAGUGUUUAACAGAUGCUUCGCUAUUAAAAUAUUUCCCCCCAAUACUGAAGAAUCUUAAACCAGCAACCCUAACAGAGAUUGCGAAGAUUUUCAAAGUGGGGCACCUCGAUUUCUCGAAUCUGUGGUGUGGCGAAUAUCCGUGUUCCUCCUGCUUAACUAGCCUGUUUGAAGGCACAGUUCAUUCUCGAGCAAUUCGUCACCUCCUGGGGGUCUUCUCUUCCCGUCUACAGGAGAGUGUGACUUCAGAAAGAACUUCGGAUUGGCCAAGGCAGGUCUGAUUCUAUUUAUUCUAAAGACAGAGUUGGAGAUGGGCUACCAUUGGUGUUGAUUGAGAUGACAAGCAGUCACCUGAGCCCAUACAGCUGGAUUGACAUAUGAGAAUCAGAGAAAUGAAUGAAAGAUUAGAGUGGGAGAAAGUGCUUGCUGCCAAGCUUGAUGACCUAAAUUGAAUACCUGGAACCUACACGACAGAAAGAGAGAGCUGACUGCUGAAAGAUGUCCUCAGAUCUUCACAUGUGCACAGUGGCACCUAUCCAACCAUGCACAUAGUAUAUUAAAAAUUAUUUUUUAAAAAAUCCA
RNAcentral lists this long non-coding RNA (687 nucleotides) under Mus musculus (house mouse). RNAcentral's name for it is "Hand2, opposite strand 1". Lineage: Eukaryota; Metazoa; Chordata; Mammalia; Rodentia; Muridae. The record is from RNAcentral.